This 74-nucleotide microRNA precursor is filed under the name Myotis davidii. Its description in RNAcentral is "mir-9229 microRNA precursor family". It matches the Rfam family "mir-9229 microRNA precursor family". The record is from Rfam by way of RNAcentral. Lineage: Eukaryota; Metazoa; Chordata; Mammalia; Chiroptera; Vespertilionidae.
AGACACCCUUAUGGGGCAGGACUUGCUUCAGUGGGGCUUUGGUGCUCACUGAGUCUGUCACUGAGUGUGUCACU